This 425-nucleotide ribosomal RNA is filed under the name uncultured bacterium. Its description in RNAcentral is "bacterial SSU rRNA". It matches the Rfam family "Bacterial small subunit ribosomal RNA", at positions 355 to 777 of the family's 1533-position model. The record is from RNAcentral.
UGAGGAAUAUUGGUCAAUGGAGGCAACUCUGAACCAGCCAUGCCGCGUGCAGGAUGACGGUCCUAUGGAUUGUAAACUGCUUUUGUACAGGAAGAAACCUCCCUACGAGUAGGGACUUGACGGUACUGUAAGAAUAAGGAUCGGCUAACUCCGUGCCAGCAGCCGCGGUAAUACGGAGGAUCCGAGCGUUAUCCGGAAUUAUUGGGUUUAAAGGGUUCGUAGGCGGCUUUGUAAGUCAGUGGUGAAAUUUCCUAGCUUAACUAGGACACUGCCAUUGAUACUGCAGAGCUUGAAUAAUAUGGAAGUAACUAGAAUAUGUAGUGUAGCGGUGAAAUGCUUAGAUAUUACAUGGAAUACCAAUUGCGAAGGCAGGUUACUACGUAUUUAUUGACGCUGAUGAACGAAAGCGUGGGGAGCGAACAGGA